Lotus japonicus is the source of this 1301-nucleotide RNA transcript. It is a transcript of the gene named vacuolar protein sorting-associated protein 27, with no coding region annotated. Lineage: Eukaryota; Viridiplantae; Streptophyta; Magnoliopsida; Fabales; Fabaceae. The transcript has 10 exons. The record is from RefSeq and is a predicted model, not a curated record.
GUGGUGCAGUCAAACUGGAUCCAAUCUCCAUGGGCCAAGCCAAAAAAAAAAAAAAACAAUGUCACCUCCCUUCCAAUGGAGAAAUGAAUCAAUUCGUUCCAGUUCCUGAUUCGAUCAUCAAACACAAGAAAGAUUGAAACUUUGUGUGUUUUAAAGGCAAACAAGACAACCCAUUUUGAGAAUCAGAGUUAUCAUCAUGUCAACAGAACCUCCUCCUUUUCAAGAAGCAGCGCGAUGUGUUGUUUGCAGUUGCAGCUUCAACACCUUCAGGAGACGGCAUCAUUGUCGAUCCUGUGGGAGAACAUUGUGCAAUGAACAUUCAUCUGAUCAGAUGGCUUUACCACAAUUUGGCCUGUACUCAAAUGUCCGAGUGUGUGCUGAUUGUUUCAACAAUUCACGAUCUCAGGAGGUACCACAUGCUUCUUCGGAUGGAGUAAACAACAUAACAGACACAAUUUCUAAAUUAGACAUUGAUGGCAAUGUUGAUUCAAAAACACUACCAAGUGCAGAUAAUAACCCUGUGUCAGGCAUUAAAGAGUGUAAGUGUGGAAUGCCUCUUUGCAUUUGUGAAGCUCCUGCCCCUUCUUCUGAUGCACUCCCUCAGCAGAAGAAAAUCUCUCCAGCCAUGACAGCUUCAUCAAAUCCUAAACCUAGGAAGACAGAUACUGUUUCAAAAAAUAGAAGCUCCAGCUCCACUAACAAGUUCAGUUCUCCAUUUAACCUUGGUCAUGUAACUAAUGUUGCCUCAGCCAGACCCCAGACUGAUUAUGAAGUUAGUGGAGAGGGUCUACGAGAAGCAAUAAAAAAUGGUGACAUUGCUGCUGUCAAGAAACUUCUUAAUGAGGGUGUGGAUGCAAAUUACAGGGACAAGCAAGGACUGUCUUUAUUGCAUUUGGUACCUUUCUCACACCUGUGGCUGUUUGUGCUCAGGCUGCAGUGUUCAAUCAAACUGAUAUAGUUUUCAUCCUCAUGGAUUCAGGGGCAAGCCUGAAGUACAAAAAUGCACAAGGAGAAACACCUUUAGAUUGUGCUCCAGCUACACUGCAAUACAAAAUGCGAAAGAAGAUGGAAGAAGGUGGAGUAAUGGACAAAAACACUUGAAUAAUCUAGAACUGGGGUGCCCCAAAGAGAGCUUCAAACACUUCCAUAGGCUAAAUUCUAAAAGGUGAAAGAACUAUGUAAGACACAUCUUUGUGACUUGUCAGCUACAAAAGUGAGGCACUAUCCAUAAUGUAAAUUUAUUUGGUGUAUGACAUAAGAGAGCAUUUUUGAGCAUACAUCUCUGUUGUUGCCCUGAGCUA